GACGUACGCUGGCGGCGUGCCUAACACAUGCAAGUCGAGCGGAGGUAGACAAGGAGUAAUCUGAGUUUACCUUAGCGGCGGACGGGUGAGUAACGCGUGAGCAACCUGCCUUUCACAGGGGGAUAAGGCGGCGAAAGCCGCUCUAAUACCGCAUGAGACCACGGUGAUGAUAUUACAGGGGUCAAAGGAGCAAUCCGGUGAAAGAUGGGCUCGCGUCCAAUUAGGUAGUUGGUGGGGUAGAGGCUCACCAAGCCAAUGAUCGGUAGCCGGCCUGGGAGGGUGAACGGCCACAUUGGAACUGAGAGACGGUCCAAACUCCUACGGGAGGCAGCAGUGGGGAAUAUUGGGCAAUGGGCGAAAGCCUGACCCAGCAACGCCGCGUGAAGGAAGAAGGUUUUCGGAUUGUAAACUUCUGUUCUUGGGGAAGAGAAGAAGACGGUACCCAAGGAGGAAGCCCCGGCUAACUACGUGCCAGCCGCCGCCGUAA
Molecule: ribosomal RNA, 487 nt
Filed under: uncultured bacterium
Lineage: Bacteria
Description: partial 16S ribosomal RNA
Rfam family: Bacterial small subunit ribosomal RNA
Source: RNAcentral